CAUUCCACAUGCAGUACCAACGUUACGACAUUUACGUAUGCAUUAUAACGUGUAAAUCGCAUGUGGAAUGAAUAAUGUCGAUUGGAUUGUAAUUUUUGAAAAUGUAACUUCUUAUGAUUCUUCCACUGUACUGUUAUUAAUUGUGUUAUUA
This is a long non-coding RNA of Bradysia coprophila, 151 nucleotides long. The record is from RefSeq and is a predicted model, not a curated record. NCBI's taxonomy places the organism in Eukaryota, Metazoa, Arthropoda, Insecta, Diptera, Sciaridae.